CCUACGGGUGGCAGCAGUGGGGAAUAUUGGACAAUGGGGGCAACCCUGAUCCAGCCAAGCCGCGUGUGUGAAGAAGGCCCUCGGGUUGUAAAGCACUUUCAGUGAGGAAGAACGCCUGGUGGUUAAUACCCAUCAGGAAAGACAUCACUCACAGAAGAAGCACCGGCUAACUCCGUGCCAGCAGCCGCGGUAAUACGGAGGGUGCGAGCGUUAAUCGGAAUUACUGGGCGUAAAGCGCGCGUAGGUGGCUUGAUAAGCCGGUUGUGAAAGCCCCGGGCUCAACCUGGGAACGGCAUCCGGAACUGUCAAGCUAGAGUGCAGGAGAGGAAGGUAGAAUUCCCGGUGUAGCGGUGAAAUGCGUAGAGAUCGGGAGGAAUACCAGUGGCGAAGGCGGCCUUCUGGACUGACACUGACACUGAGGUGCGAAAGCGUGGGUAGCAAACAGGAUUAGAUACCCGGGUAGUC
RNAcentral lists this ribosomal RNA (465 nucleotides) under Vreelandella stevensii. Its description in RNAcentral is "partial 16S ribosomal RNA". It matches the Rfam family "Bacterial small subunit ribosomal RNA", at positions 338 to 795 of the family's 1533-position model. The record is from RNAcentral. Lineage: Bacteria; Pseudomonadati; Pseudomonadota; Gammaproteobacteria; Oceanospirillales; Halomonadaceae.